Podarcis lilfordi (Lilford's wall lizard) is the source of this 10727-nucleotide non-coding RNA. NCBI's taxonomy places the organism in Eukaryota, Metazoa, Chordata, Lepidosauria, Squamata, Lacertidae. The record is from the annotation of a GenBank genome assembly.
GUCAUCAACAGUUAUAAGGUUGAAGCGACCUUCUUCAGAGUAUCUGACGAUGUGUGUACUACACACGAAAGCUCAUACCUUGAAAGCUUAUAUUUAGUUGGUCUUAAAGGUGCCACUGGAAUUAUUUUAAAAGAUUUUUUUUUCAUCUUCCAUCUUGAUAUUUAUUAUGAGGGUGGCUACUAGUUCAGACCAAACGGGAGAGCUAAGAAGCUGUGGAUUUCCACAUUCACCAUGAAAGCAUCUCAGAGGAAAGAAGCCCACAUCAGUCCACUUUUAGGUCCCAGAGAGAUGUAAAGAAGAACACUUAGACCGAAAAGGCUGUUCUGAACUUGACAUGUGCAUUUCCUCAGCUGAAUGUACAGCGCUGGAAUCACUUUGUUCUGCUCUUUGCAACGUGUGCUGCAAUCAACGGCAACAUUUUGGAGAAAGGAACAGAACAGGUUUUUUCAGCUGACUCACCUGAACUGCCUGCCUGAAGCCUUUCAAGACUCAACUUUUUGCUAUGCCUUGAAUGACUCCCAACUAGGGCAGCAGUCCUAUACACAUUUACCUGGAAGCAAGUCCCACUGAAUUCAGCAUUGAUUAUUGGUUCAGAAUAGCUUUGUAUUGCAGGACAGAUUCUGCUGUCUUCCCACAAAUACCGGGCAAUUCUUCUCCUGAUCGUAAAGACUGCUUCUUGGUGUUCAGCACAUGGGUAGCAAGCAGUAAACAAAUCCAAAAUAAACCAUUUAUUUCCCUUGCAUAUGUGGGUCAACGAAUGACUUUCCAUUCGGGUGAGUCACUGAGUUCCUCCAAACCCUUAAGGUGUACUGCAAAUGAAAAAUGUGGUUUGCAUUGGAAUGCAGUAAUGCAUAAGGCUUGCUGGAAGACUCAACUUUCGCUCCUAAGUCCAAAAAUCAAGGCUUUUUGACUGUCAGAUAUAUAUAUAUAUCCCUUUACAAUGAAAGCAUAAAACACCCCCUCCUCAAACAAGCAUUUAAGCCCAGGAACACGAGUUUGCACUUCGUCUAAGGCCUACCCACCCAGUGAGCCAAAGUGUGUUCUUUCUGGGUGGCUCAGAGAAUAGCACAUUGCAGUGGAAACACCCAUUUAUUUCAUUUACUGCCAUUUAUAAUAUUUUCCACUAGUUGGAGAUAAUGAAUUCAUCCAUAUUUGCCAAGAUUAUGCAGCUUAUUUAUUGCCAAAAUUAUCCAGAAUCUUUUUUUCCUUUUUUCUUUUAAAGGAAAGAAGCCAUUGCCCAUGAUUUUCCAUGAGUGCCUGGUGGUUCUUUUGGAACGAAAGUUACAUCCUUGCUAUUAACAAUGCAUUACAAUAGCUUUGAACUCUCCUGCUUGUAGCUGGGACAGAUCCCUCAAGGACACUUGCUUCAAGACUUUUAAUUGUUUGGGAUAAUUAAAGGCAGGCCAGAAAUCUGGAACUGCCCUUAGUUCUCCUCCAUGUGUGAAGGCACUCUUUAAUAGUCUUCUCACAAAAGCAGAGGGGUAUCGGCUCAUCUAUAGAUGAUUUCCCAAAUUUUAGUUACUCCUCGUUCCUUUUAGCUAAGCCGUGUGACUCACAACAGCCAUUCUGCCUGACAAAGCCAAGCAGAAUGUGGGGCUGAUCCUCAAGUUUACUGCACCAGUAAAUGCUCAGAAGGAAACCCAUGACUUCAAUGCAUCAUUUAAUACCUCCAGGCUCACCAAUCUGUGCUAAGUUCUCUCUGUGUGUGUUCUUUGCAUAUGUGGAAACAACUGAGAGUGGAAAUCAAGUCCAAACAACUUCUGUAAGACACUGUGAUCCUAGAUUUCUUGUUCCUCUCGAGGGCACUGCUCCCAACACCCCAUGUGCUGAGUUGUUAGUCAGCCAGGAUGUCUGGGCUGUUAUGGGGUCCAAGGAUUACAUCCAUGGUGGUGGGUGGAAGGACCCUGAGUGAGAGGCAGGGCAUGACCGCCCAGGGUGAGAGACUGGGAGAGGAAAGGAAAGGAAAGGUGAGAGCUAGGAGGCUCCAGCACUUUCAGUGGGAGACAAGGAUUAAGAAUUACAGUGGUACCUCUGCUUACGAACUUAAUUCAUUCUGGAGGUCCGUUCUUAACCUGAAACUGUUCUUAACCUGAGGUACCACUUUAGCUAAUGGGGCCUCCCGCUGCCGCCGCACAGCCACCGCACAGUUUCUGUUCUCAUCCUGAAGUAAAGUUCUUAACACGAGGUACUAUUUCUGGGUUAGCGGAGUUUGUAGCCUGAAGCGUCUGUAACCUGAAGCGUCUGUAACCUGAGAUACCACUGUACCUUUUCCAGGUCCACCACAUCUUUCAUAUGUGGUGGACCUGUAAAAGGGUAAAAGAGUAUUGGGAAACAAUUCAUAAUGAACUGGGGGGGAAAUGUUUAGAAGUACUUUUCAAAAAGACAAAACCAGAGUCCUUUUUGUUGGGGAAAAUUCAGACUGAAAUUCCCAGGUGUCAAAAAAAGGUUAUUUUUGUAUGCCACUACUGUGGCUCGUGUUUUGUUAGCCCCCAAAUGGAAAACGAGCGAAGUCCCAACUAAAGAAGAAUGGCAACUUAAGCUGAUGGAAUAUGUGCAGCUUGCGGACUUAAUAUAUAGAAUAUGAGAACAAGAAGAACAUACAUUUAAAGAAGCUUGGACUUUUUUUAAAAAAAAUAGUAUUUAUUAAAGUUUUAAGUUUACAAAAAGGCAAAAGAAAAAACAUCAAAUUAAGCAAUAACAAAACCAACACAUCACAAUAAAAAACCGAAAAAUACAAACAAUGAAAAGCAAAAGAAAAAAGAAGAAAGAAAACAAAACAAAACGAACCUUCCCAUAACUUAUCUUUCAUUUGCUUGUUUCCCUGACCUCCUCACACCUACCUUUUUUGUAUUCUAGGUCAAUUAUCCAUUUCAGCAAAUCCUUUCCCUCUCUUCAAAAUUUUUAUCCUGAAAAUUUAUCUUGAUCUUGAUAUAAGUUUACUUUCCCUCUUUUCACCAAUUAACAGUCUAUUUUUCUUUAACUCUUUGAUACAUUUUUGCUAGAAUCACCUAGAUUCAUUCCAACAUCAUUCUAACAUUCAUUAAUUUUACAAUGUUUCUGUAAAUAGUCUUUAAAUUUCUUCCAAUCUUCCUCCACCGACUCUUCUCCCUGGUCUCGGAUUCUGCCAGUCAUUUCCGCCAGUUCCAUAUAGUCUAUCACCUUCAUCUGCCAUUCUUCCAGAGUGGGUAGAUCUUGUGUCUUCCAAUACUUUGCAAUAAGUAUUCUUGCUGCUGUUGUGGCAUACAUAAAAAAAUUUCUGUCCUUCUUUGACACCAAUUGGCCGACCAUGCCCAGGAGAAAGGCCUCUGGUUUCUUCAGAAAGGUAUAUUUAAAUACCUUUUUCAUUUCGUUAUAGAUCAUCUCCCAGAAAGCCUUAAUCCUUGGGCAUGUCCACCAAAGGUGAAAGAAUGUACCUUCCGUCUCUUUACAUUUCCAGCAUUUAUUUUCGGGCAAUUGAUAAAUUUUCGCAAGCUUGACUGGUGUCAUGUACCACCUGUAUAUCAUUUUCAUUAUAUUCUCUCUUAAGGCAUUACAUGCCGUGAACUUCAUACCUGUGGUCCAUAACUGUUCCCAGUCAGCCAUCAUAAUGUUAUGUCCAACAUCUUGUGCCCAUUUAAUCAUAACAGAUUUUACCGUUUCAUCCUGAGUAUUCCAUUUCAGCAGCAAAUUAUACAUUCUUGACAAAUUCUUAGUUUUGGAAUCUAACAGUUCUAUCCUUAUUGUCUAUUUGCAGCCCAUUCCCAGGGUCUGAGCUGUGGAGUUUUAGUUUCCUUCCCUCUCUCUCACAGGUAUGAAAAGUCCAAAACUUCUCCCCCCUCUUCUCCUGCUUCCCGGGGGGAGUUUUCUAAUUUAGAAAUUGGGAUUUUAAUCCUUUCCAGUCGGCUCUCCAAGACUCUAGCUUGCAGCCUUUGCUUUGUUCUGACUACAAAAGCGGAAGGCAGACUUCCUGUUUAUGCCUCCCCGCUACAAUUCCAAAUUGCAAAUUUCUUCCUUUAAAAAGUUCCAAUAUGGUUGUUCUUAAAUAAUAUCUUUAAAAUCCAAUUGUUCUACUCACGGGUAGUAUCUUUUUAAGUCCAAUUGUUCACAGGAAAAAGUCAGCGCUCUCCGGCAACGGCUCUGCGGCUUCACUCUGUGGAAAGAGCAGUCGAUUCACAGCACCGCGCUGCUCACCCCACUUCGCUACGGAUCCCGCGAACGGGUUUCCCCGCGAGUAGGGGAGGCGCUGAAGGUGCCUGCCGAAUCCCACGUUCACAGGCUUCACCCGCCUGUGAUUUCUGAAGGGUCUCCGCCUUCGCCGUGGCGGCCAGACCCGAUCUCCACGGAGCAAAUUCCUCUUAGUCAGAGGAAUUCAGCCAUUAGCCGAUGGCGCCAACCGGAAGUUAAAGAAGCUUGGGCAUUGUAUAUUGAAUAUAUGGUGGGAAAUGGUGUAUAUUUGAAAACGUAGGCAGCAUUAAGAUAAAUUCAACAGUGUAUAUAAGUUAGAUGCAAUAAUGGAAUACUUUAGUUUCUGUAAAAUUUGCAGGGAUUUAUGAUAUAUAAAAUAAGCCAUGGAAAGAGAAGGGAAGUCAUUGAUAUCUUAAGGAUAUAAAAAUGAGUACUUUAAAUUGCAAAACAGAAAAUUUAAUAAAAAUUAUAUAUAAAAAGAAAAGAAAAGAAAAGGGAGGCCGAUAUUUUGCAGAUUCAGAUCUCGAUCCUGUUAAACCAGGAAUAACAACUCUGUUGCAAGUUUCACAAGGAUGUUCACAUGGAAAUGCAGCAUGCGAUCAACAAGGCUCCCUUCCUCCCCAUUUUGAGAUGGGUGCUGGGAAUAUUCCCCCCCCCCCUCGAAUGUCAUUUUAUCCUUGAAUCUGUUGUUUUUUCAUUGUACUGGUCACUUUACCUUGUUUAAAGAUCUGCUGCAUUUCGUGUGUGCGUAUAGUUUUGUUGUCAGUGCGUGCGUGCGUGUGUAUAUAUUUGUAAGUGGCUUUGAGGAUUGAUUUUGAACAUGGGAUAUAAAUAAUUUAAAUCAAUAAAUAAUGGAUAAAAUUAGAUCGCAGGAGGAAGAAGGAGCCGAAUGCAAAACAGAGAAUUGUACUAUAAGGUUACCCAUCUAUUAAAGUGGCUUCCAUACAGAGAUAAUUUGUAUGAAGCACAGAGGAGAGUUGCAGAGUGAUAUCUGCUUUGUGAAUCUAUAAAUAGCCAAGACUCUGUUCCCUGCAAAUCAUAGCCAUUUACUUCCAAAGCAAUAUCUCCAUUCUCAUUGUGGCUUAGUUCCAUCUCCACUCAAUGUCCCGUUAGUAGCAAAUUAAUUCAGUAUCCACACCAGCCCUGUGAAUCAGAAAAUUUAAUGUCGAGUAUUAGUUUGGCCGCUGAGUUAUUCCCAUUGGGGUAUGAAUGCCCCAUUCCUUCUCCUGCCUCCACAGCCCCGAGCAGUGCCAAAGCAAAUAAAGAUAAUAGAAUGAAAGAAAGAAUUUGCUGUGUGCAAAUUUACUGCUCUAACUUUGCUUUAAUGCCGAGCUGUGGAAAAAAAACAAAGCCAGCCUUCUCUAUUUGUCUUCAUUUAGAAUUAUUGCUCUACUUUUUAUUGCCAUCUUUCCAGCUCACAUUUCUUUUUCAGGGAAAGACUUAUAGGAUUAUGGAAUUGGAAGCAACCUCAAAGGCCAUUUGCUUCAGCCACCUGCAGUGAGGCAAGAUCUAUCGCGCUCACACGCUAACAGAGCAACCCUGAUAGCAGAAUACGGCUUGGGACUGUCCUUGUUACAAUUUCCCAGAAGGAAACAAGAUUCUAGACUUCCAUUGGCUGCCUCCCUGACAAUUAGGGUAGGCCAAAAUGGUGCCCUCCGACUGUUCUUCGACAGCAGCCCUCAACAUCUCUCUCUCCGCUGCCUAUGCUGGCAUCUCUGGAAGGCAUCCUUUGACUAACAUGUUUGGACCUGGUAUAGUAAACUGGGAGAAAUUGACAAGACUUCUACAACUGGAUUAUAAUGCCAGCUGAACUAAGGUGUCCCAUUGGCUUUGUCUUUUCUCCCGUAAGAUUUUAUUGAAGUUUUUUCAUAAUAGUGAGAUAAAAGAAACUCACCUAAAUAAAAACAAAAAUAGAGAAAGAGAAAACAGAGUCCUCUCUCAAAGGUAACACACACUCUCUCUCUCUCUCCAAUUUAGAAUACUUGCAUAAAUCCCUGCAUAUUUUACAAAAACAACCAUUCAGUAUUCCAUUAUUACAUCCAUCAAAACUUAUUUACCCUGUUGCCAUUCUUCUUUGGUUGGGACCCGGCUCAUUUUCCAACUUGGGGCUAACAAAACACAGGCUGCAGUAGUGGCAUACAUAAAUAAGUUUUUUUGACAUCCGGGAAUUUCUGUCUGAAUUAUCCCCAACAGAAAGGACUCUGGUUUGGGGUGGAAAGUCCUUUUAAACAUUUUUUUUCAAUUCAUUAUGGAUCAUUUCCCAAGGCAGUGGUACGUCAGAAGUUGAAUGGAAUCCGCUCCGGAAGUCCUUCCAACUUCCAAAACGUUCGGAAACCAGGGCGUGGCUUCCGAUGGGCUGCAGGAAACUCCUGCAGCCAAUUGGAAGCCGUGUUGGACAUCCAGGUUACAAAAGACAUUUGCAAACUGCAACACUCACUUCCGGGUUUGCAGCAUUCGGGAGCCAAAACGUUCGACUCGCAAGGCAUUCACAAACCAAGGCACGACCGUAUACUUUUACAAGUCCACUACAAAUGAAGGAAUGUUCUCUCAACCUCUUUGCAUCUCCAGCACUUAUCUGAUUCAGCCUUGUACGUCUUGGCAAGCCUACUCCCUUUUCUGAAAUAAUAGCAACAGUAGUGGUAACGGUAAGAAAAGGAAUUAAAAUGGCUGCAUAUGUUAACACUGAACAUGUCUCUCCCACCGAGGCUUUUCUGACAUCCUCUCACAAUCUCCUGAAGGUCAAGCCAUGCUCCAGAGCAUGUGCUGCAGCAUGGGCUCUUAUGGGGUGGCUUCUGUAUGUGCACACAGAAGUGUCUUCAGGUCCUAAAAGGGACUAUUUGAACUCUCGUCACUAUUGGACUCUGGUCACAGCUGAAGGUGCAUAGGGACCCUUUUUGCACAUUCUGCUGAGCCUAUGGAGGGUGAGGGAAGGGCAGUGCGCAGCGGCGGGGACUUGACCCCUUCAUCCCCUUCGUACAUUCAGCAAACACCCGUGGGUGUACAGAGCUGCUUGGGAAGAUCUCCUUGGUUUUAAAGUUUUCCCCUUUGCAUACUUGAGAGGUAAAGGUAUGUAAAGGACCCCUGGAUGGUUCAGUCAAAGACGACUAUGGGGUUGUGGCACUCAUCUUGCUUCCAGGCAGAGGGAGCUGGCGUUUGUCCACAGACAUCUUUCUUGCAGGACUAAACUGCUUCUGGUGCAUCGGAACACCAUGACGGAAACCAGAGCACACGGAAACACCGUUUACCUUCCUGCCACAGUGGUACCUAUUUAUCUACUUGCACUGGUGUGCUUUCGAACUGCUAGGUUGGCAGGAGCUGGAACAGAGCAACAGGAGCUCACUCCGUCAUGGGAGUUCAAACCUCUGACCUUCUGAUCGGCAAGCCCAAGAGACUCAGUGGUUUAGACCACAGUGCUACCCGCGUCCCUGCAUACUUGAGAGAAUUGUACCCAAAGCCUCCAUAGGCAUUGCUCAAGUAGUUGCCCAUUUUAGCUAUGAAAAAAUAUGUGAAUAAUAUUCAUAUACUCCUUAGGGGUAGUAUAAAAGAUAAAAAAAGAUUUUAAAACAUUUUCACCAUUAAAAUAAAUUGAAAGGAGGGAUCAAAGAUGAAGCACUUCGGAAAACAUUUCCCUAUUUGUCACGAAGAGCUUUGCAUGAUUGGGGGAAAAACAAACACGUGCGCAUUCAUACAAUGUAUUUUUGUUCAGAAUUUGUCCCGAGACACAAGCCAAGCCUCAGAGGUCCCAUACCUACUCAACAUAAACCACUGUAGCUUCGCAAUGAAAUCUGAAAAUGCAAUUUUCAUCCAAGAGCAAUAGGCCUAAAGAGAAUACAAACAAAUGAGAGCGAAAAUACACAAAGACAAUUGCAUGCUCAAAUAUAAUCUUUCAAAACAAAAGAUUUUGUUUGCGACGUAUUCAUGGAACAUUUGUUCUAAAUUGGCUGAGUGACUGUGAUUUUUUCUAGUACAGCAUUCGUGUUCAGCAUCAUACACAAUCUUUCCUAUGCUGGUUUUUUACAAGGAAAGGAGCCCAGCAUAUUGUCGCCACUCCCCAGUCUUGCUGCAGCUCUUCUCGUAGGUGGGAGUUGGAUUUUACAUUUUCCCCUCCUGUUGUUUUUUCAGAUCAAAAUCGCCCUCCCCAAGCUACCUUUUCACCUGUGGAGUAGAAAGAUGAAGGAAACACAGAGGUCUUUUCCUCCUUCAAAUGAAAAAGGAGUUUGGGGAGGAGUAAUGUGGAGCUGAAAAGAUACCAGAGAGGAAAGGGUUAAUUAACCACAAGCUACCCCCCCCAUCCACCCUUUUUUCACUCAGAUGGAAUCUGCCCAAUGUCCCUUUUGGUUUGGUUUUGUUUUUUUUAAACCAUGCAGAGGAAGAACUCUAACAACUGCUGAAAAAAUGCAAAAUGAACAUUAAUGUGUUUUUUUUAAAGGUAGUUUAUCCUCUUUUUCAUUUUCGAAUAACAGCCUAAACACAUUGCAAAGAGGAAUUCUGUACCAAAGAAACUCGGAAUUUUAUUCUUGGACUGGUAGAUAACCACAAGACAUCUCUCCCAAUUUUCCAACCCCAGAUACAUUUUUCUUCAUUUUCAAACUUAAAAGGAGGAAUGCUACAUUGGCAUAAUAAUCUCACCCGACUCACCAGACCCAAGAAGUGCCUCUCUAAGGAGCCACAUCAAAUAGAUGUAUAAACAGAAUUUGGGGCUUGUUCUUCUGGACUGGCUGAGAUGGACCUAGUGGGGGCCAGUGGAUAUAGGGAUGAGGAAAUGGGCUUGCUGCCCAUUUCUUGGCAGAUUCCUAGAUUUUAGGAGCUACAGGGAGCUGCUUUUUUACCUCUUCCCCAUCUUCCAACAGAGAGCUCCGUCGGGGCUUCAUAACUUUGAAGAGCACAAAGCUUCUCCUCCCAGAUCUACUGUGGUACCUUGGGUUAAGAACUUAAUUCGUUCUGGAGGUCCGUUCUUAACCUGAAACUGUUCUUAACCUGAGGUACCACUUUAGCUAAUGGGGCCUCCUGCUGUCGCUGCAUGAUUUCUGUUCUAAUCCUGAAGCAAAGUUCUUAACCCGAGGUACUAUUUCUGCAUUAGCGGAGUCUGUAACUUGAAGCAUCUGUAACCCGAGGUACCACUGUAUUUCCGGGGGGGGGGCACAGAAUCAAGGUGCCAAAAAGUUAGGACCGUUGCCAUCUCUGUCUGGAAGAGCUUCUGUGCUGUAACAACUAUCUAACAUACAAAGCUUUAGCAAGUAAAUUUAGGAUCGUAUUCAACUAAGUGUUACUCACUGAAAUUAAUGGCCAUGCUUAAGUCAGGUCCAGUAAUUUCAAUAGAUCUAUUCUUCUAUUGCAGCAAUAUGACUUGACCCCUGUAGGCGCACUCCAUUGUCUCUUAAGACAGAUGGGUGCCAACAAUCAUUUUGAGGAAAACUUAGUUAAAUACCAGCCCUUAGCAAGUAUAUUCUGGGACUCAGAUUUUGCUGCUCGUUGGUUACUAGGGGCUGCCACCUCUGCUCAUUCCACUUGCCAAUCCUGCCUACCAAUUAACCUCUCCCUCCUCCACAGCUGGCCAACCCCUCUUCCCUUUUCACCCCAUGAAUCCUUGCAUAUCCCCUCACAGAUUGUUCAAAACUCCCCUCAAAGUUUGCUCCACCCAACUUCAUGUUGUUGUUUAGUCGUUUAGUCGUGUCCGACUCUUUGUGACCCCAUGGACCAGAGCAUGCCAGGCACUCCUGUCUUCCACUGCCUCCCACAGUUUGGUUAAACUCAUGUUAGUAGCUUCAAGAACACUGUCCAACCAUCUUGUCCUCUGCCGUCCCCUUCUCCUUGUGCCCUCAAUCUUCCCCAACAUCAGGGUCUUUUCCAGGGAGUCUUCUCUUCUCAUGAGGUGGCCAAAGUAUUGGAGCCUCAGCUUCAGGAUCUGUCCUUCCAGUGAGCACUCACGGCUGAUUUCCUUCAGAAUGGAUAGGUUUGAUCUUCUUGCAGUCAAUGGGACUCUCAAGAGUUUCCUCCAGCACCAUAAUUCAAAAGCAUCAAUUCUCCAGCGAUCAGCCUUCUUUAUGGUCCAGCUCUCACUUCCAUAUAUCACUACUUGCUCCAAACCACCCAACUUCCCUCACAGCUCACCUCAACCUCUUUGAAAGGAGGAUGGGAAGUGUUUCAGGGGGCAGUUUGCCUAUCCAAUGGUGGGGGGGGCAAGCUAUGCAAAGAAACAACAACUUUGCUCCCAGGCAGGAUGCCCUGUAUCUUAAAAGAAAAAGGUAAGUCCCCAAACUUGCCUGCGGAAAAAGAUUCCACAAACUGUUUAGGCAGUUUGAUCCUUGGCUGAUCUAUUUUUAUAUUUAGGAAUUUAUUCCUGAUGCACAGCCUAAAACUGUCUCCCCUGUUGUUUAAAUCCACUGAUCUUUCACCUCUGUUUGGUGGAUAAAAUGAACAUUUCUUUUAAAUCCAGGGCAUUGCAUUUAAAGGAGGAGGAGGAAGAGGAGGAGGAAGGGGAAGAAGAAGAAGAAGAAGAAGAAGAAGAAGAAGAAGAAGAAGAAGAACUCUAACAUUUAGAGUUACUUUUUGCAAACUUGGAU